Bos taurus (domestic cattle) is the source of this 1303-nucleotide long non-coding RNA. The record is from Ensembl. NCBI's taxonomy places the organism in Eukaryota, Metazoa, Chordata, Mammalia, Artiodactyla, Bovidae.
AUGCAGAAAAUAGGUUUAUGAAUGUAAUUGAGAGGAAAGAAAACAAUUAACACGGUGCAAGGUUGCACACUCGGUUGGCCACCCCUCGCCUUCUCCUCUACCCCAAUUUUGAGCAAUCCGGGAUCAUGGGAAUAGAGUGGAUCCAGGCAGUUGGAGGCAGCUGACAAGGCAACCCCUGAAGGAGAUCACAGUGAUGGGUGGAUAAUGUGUCUAUCCAUCUCCUAGUCGGCUGAGGCCUCCUCCAACCAAGCUGAGAGAAAGAGAUCAAAUCCCCAAGCCCAAGUUACUCUCUUCUACUGAUGUGAAGUGACGUCAGCAAGGCCUGUCCUAUCCCCUUGGAGAGAAGGGAGUGAGGAGGAGGGGAUGGAAGGAGGGAGCUGGGAGAAAGAGCUAAAGAAAAAGAGAAAAAGCAAACCGGACGAACAGAGGACCGCAUGGGAAUGAGUCUUCUACACUCGGGGGCCCCAGUUCCACCAACAGUGGGCAAAACAAUGCUUGCGAAGUCGGGGGUUGGUAGAACACCUUUCUCUCCUCUCCCGCGAUCUACAUAUUCUAACAUAUGGAAAGCUUACAGGCCCCGAGCACUUAUAGAAGCCGAUAAUGCAUUAGCUCUCAGCAAUAUUUACAGCACCACUUUUAAUACACACCAGAUGGUUCGCGACUGUGCCGCCCCAGCCAGCUCACUCCUCGAUUUUACUCGGCGGCACUUUGUUGCAAUUACGCUCCAUGCUGAGACCAAUUUUAUUGGUGACCUAUUUUUCAUAUUUUGUAGCAUUUUAUGUUAAAAAAAAAAAAAAAAAAAACCUCCUCUCUGGCCUUUUUGUAAAGGGCAGCGCGCAGGAAGGGAGAGCUUAGGAGGACGGCGGGACUGUCUAGGUGGAUAUUAAUAUUUAUCAUGAUGUUCCAUACCUCGGGUUUAAGUGAGUCAACCGGAUAGACAUAAGUACUCCGGUCAUUAUGUUUGUUCACUCACCCCCCUGUUUGUCAGACGCCCACGGACUGUCUACACGGCGCGCUUGCCUCCGAGUCAAUACAUCCGACCAUAAAUAUUGUAUUCCAUUAAUUAUCACGCCACUGGCUGAUCCCGGGCGCCGGCGUCCUCGAGCGACGCAGGGCAAAUGAGGACGCUUCCUGAACAGAUUUCUAGGCUGGGAACCCCGCGGAAAUUGCCGCAGAGCCUGGGAAUUCCUAGAGCCCGAGCGCCCGGCUCGACUCGGGCUGGGCCCGGACCGGCUGGCGGGGGAGGGAGGCGGCUGCGGAGGCCCGACGCCGCCAGGAGGGCUCAGUACCUGUUAUCUUGCCA